GUAGGUGGCAAGCGUUGUCCGGAAUUAUUGGGCGUAAAGCGCGCGCAGGCGGGGUUUUUAAGUCUGAUGUGAAAGCCCACGGGCUCAACCGUGGAGGGUCAUUGGAAACUGGAGAACUUGAGUACAGAAGAGGAAAGCGGAAUUCCACGUGUAGCGGUGAAAUGCGUAGAGAUGUGGAGGAACACCAGUGGCGAAGGCGGCUUUCUGGUCUGUAACUGACGCUGAGGCGCGAAAGCGUGGGGAGCAAACAGGAUUAGAUACCCUGGUAGUCCACGCCGUAAACGAUGAGUGCUAAGUGUUAGGGGGUUUCCGCCCCUUAGUGCUGCAGCUAACGCAUUAAGCACUCCGCCUGGGGAGUACGGCCGCAAGGCUG
Molecule: ribosomal RNA, 373 nt
Filed under: uncultured organism
Description: partial 16S ribosomal RNA
Rfam family: Bacterial small subunit ribosomal RNA
Source: RNAcentral